UACGGAGGAUGCAAGCGUUAUCCGGAUUUAUUGGGUUUAAAGGGUGCGCAGGCGGAAUUGUAAGUCAGUGGUGAAAUCCUACAGCUUAACUGUAGAAUUGCCAUUGAUACUGCAAAUCUAGAGUUUAGUUGAAGUGGCUGGAAUGUGUCAUGUAGCGGUGAAAUGCAAAGAGAUGACACAGAACACCAAUAGCGAAGGCAGGUCACUAAGCUAAUACUGACGCUCAGGCACGAAAGCGUGGGGAUCAAACAGGAUUAGAUACCCUGGUAGUCCACGCUGUAAACGAUGAUAACUAGUUGUUGGCGAUACACAGCCAGUGGCCAAGCGAAAGCAAUAAGUUAUCCACCUGGGGAGUACGACCGCAAGGUUGAA
RNAcentral lists this ribosomal RNA (372 nucleotides) under uncultured bacterium. RNAcentral's name for it is "bacterial SSU rRNA". It matches the Rfam family "Bacterial small subunit ribosomal RNA", at positions 524 to 898 of the family's 1533-position model. The record is from RNAcentral.